RNAcentral lists this ribosomal RNA (253 nucleotides) under uncultured bacterium. RNAcentral's name for it is "partial 16S ribosomal RNA". It matches the Rfam family "Bacterial small subunit ribosomal RNA", at positions 524 to 776 of the family's 1533-position model. The record is from RNAcentral.
UACAGAGGUCCCAAGCGUUGUUCGGAUUCAUUGGGCGUAAAGGGUGCGUAGGUGGCGCGCUAAGUCAGGUGUGAAAUUUCGGAGCUCAACUCCGAAACUGCAUUUGAUACUGGUGUGCUUGAGGACUGGAGAGGAGACUGGAAUUUACGGUGUAGCAGUGAAAUGCGUAGAGAUCGUAAGGAAGACCAGUGGCGAAGGCGGGUCUCUGGACAGUUCCUGACACUGAGGCACGAAGGCUAGGGGAGCAAACGGG